RNAcentral lists this ribosomal RNA (375 nucleotides) under Triticum aestivum (bread wheat). RNAcentral describes it as "partial small subunit ribosomal RNA". Lineage: Eukaryota; Viridiplantae; Streptophyta; Magnoliopsida; Poales; Poaceae. The record is from RNAcentral.
AAGGAAGGAGUGAAGGUAAGGAAGGCGGAGAGGGAGAAGGGAAAACAGGUAGAGAACAGGGCGAUCAGCAACGUCCUGUCGGAGCGGCCGGCGCAUCCAGAUGCAAUUUGCAACUCGCUGGGGAAGGUGUGGAGUCCAAUCCGUGGGGUCGAGUGCAAGGAGCUGGGUGACAACGUAUUCCUGUUUACCUUCAAUCAGGAGAGGGAGAGGAGGAAAGCGUUGGAUGACGACCUGUGGAUGUUUGAUAAUGACUUGGUGGUGCUGGAGGAGUUCGUGCCGAGGAAGCGGAUUGAAGAUUAUGAGUUCAAGGAGAUCCCGAUCUGGAUUAGGGUAUAUGGGCUGCCAUUAGGGGACAUGGAUGAGGAUACGGGAGAG